CCCAAACAACGGCAAGAAAUGAACAUUUGAAAUGCACAUUUUUGAUUUUUUGAAAUAUUUCUAACGGUGUCGAUUUGCCCAAAGUAAGAUAUGUUAUUCUUUUUAAAAAAUGGAACGUCAUAACGUUUUGAAAAAUAUUUGUCACCAUACUCGUUUUUGAGAAAAAUUGAGUAAUAUAAUACUGUUUACUCAAUCCCUCCCGUAAGCCUCACAAAUUGCGCCAAAAAUUAAGACGUUUCGGAAAAUAACGUUAUAUUUCCCCGCUAAUUUUUCAAAGGCAGUGCGACGGUGUGGCAGACAAAUGUAUUUAUACAAUUUGACUUUGUUGGGUAUUUGUCUGGAUAGCACUCGUAUCGCAUCUUCUUAUUUAUAAUGAACCAGUAUCUGGACGAGAUAACAAUUCAGAUAGUUUUACUAUUGUGUUCGUCAAAAUUGUGAAACCCGAUAGUGAAAAACUCACUGACUCCGUAUUAAUUCAUUUUGCAAUUUCGGGCUUUUUAUUCUUUAUAGGCUUCUAGCUAUAACAAAAAUCUGUAUGUUGACUCUUAGUGUUUUGAAUUAUAUGGGUUCGUUGGGUUGCUGUCGUAUUAAUGUAUACCUUUAAAAUCUUUUUCAAAACAAAAGGAUUGAUUGGGUAUAGAAAUAUUCACAUCUCUGGACUUCUCCCAUCCGACAGUAUAUCUUUGCUAAAAUUUGGUGCGGCCGUUUAGCUGCUCGGAUGUAUAAAUUUGCAGCCUCGUUUAGUCGAAAUAAAAAUGUAUAUCCGAUGCAUAGUGCAGUGAGUUUCGCGCUAUCUAUACG
This 801-nucleotide long non-coding RNA is filed under the name Mytilus galloprovincialis (Mediterranean mussel). The record is from RNAcentral. Lineage: Eukaryota; Metazoa; Mollusca; Bivalvia; Mytilida; Mytilidae.